This 462-nucleotide ribosomal RNA is filed under the name uncultured bacterium. Its description in RNAcentral is "bacterial SSU rRNA". It matches the Rfam family "Bacterial small subunit ribosomal RNA", at positions 405 to 868 of the family's 1533-position model. The record is from RNAcentral.
AGGAAGACGGCCUUCUGGGUUGUAAACUGCUUUUGCCAGGGGAUAAAAAGAGCGUGCGCGCUUUAUUGAAGGUACCUGGUGAAUAAGCCACGGCUAACUACGUGCCAGCAGCCGCGGUAAUACGUAGGUGGCAAGCGUUGUCCGGAUUUAUUGGGUUUAAAGGGUGCGUAGGCGGUCAUAUAAGUCAGUGGUGAAAUACUUCAGCUCAACUGGAGAGGUGCCAUUGAUACUGUAUGACUUGAGUACAGACGAGGUAGGCGGAAUUGACGGUGUAGCGGUGAAAUGCUUAGAUAUCGUCAAGAACACCGAUAGCGAAGGCAGCUUACUAGACUGUAACUGACGCUGAUGCACGAAAGUGUGGGGAUCAAACAGGAUUAGAUACCCUGGUAGUCCACACUGUAAACGAUGAUUACUCGAUGUUGGCGAUACACAGCCAGCGUCUUAGCGAAAGCGAUAAGUAAU